UACAGAGGUCCCAAGCGUUGUUCGGAUUCACUGGGCGUAAAGGGUGCGUAGGCGGUCGGGUAAGUCUGAUGUGAAAUCUCACAGCUUAACUGUGAAACUGCAUUGGAUACUAUUCGGCUUGAGAGUUGGAGGGGGGACUGGAAUUCUUGGUGUAGCAGUGAAAUGCGUAGAUAUCAGGAGGAACACCGAUGGCGAAGGCAGGUCUCUGGGCCACUACUGACGCUGAGAAGCGAAAGCAUGGGGAGCGAACAGG
This 253-nucleotide ribosomal RNA is filed under the name uncultured bacterium. RNAcentral describes it as "partial 16S ribosomal RNA". It matches the Rfam family "Bacterial small subunit ribosomal RNA", at positions 524 to 776 of the family's 1533-position model. The record is from RNAcentral.